AUUAGAUCUGUGCAGCAAAGAGCUUCUCUGUGUUUUCAUUCUCUAUCAGAGGAAGGACACUGAUCAUCUGCUGUCUGUUUGACUUCAACUACUCCAAAGACAUGUGUCUCUACCUCUUUUUACUUGGCUCUCAUUUCAUAGGUAAGUGUUAGAACAGACAGCAAACUCCAACCUCACCUGCUGCUUUCAGCAGAUAUUUGGUCAACAUUUCACAAGCAGAGCUUGAUCUGAGUAAGCUAACAUUUUCAGGGACUGAUAGACAUUUGCUGUUUGAAGAAUCUCUCAAUGAUCCAGGAUAACAGAUGAAGUAAAGGACUGUUUUUCAGUCUCUUGGUGUCAGAGUCUCUUCUAACUAACAUGAAUUAUACUCCUUUUUCAGCCCUGGCCUCCAUGAACACCAUAAAACCAGUCAGCCCUGAAGAAACUGUUAAAGAGGGCACAAACAUCAACCUGACCUGUACUUAUGAUGGUGUUAUCUACAAUAUCCAAUGGUACAGACAAUACCAGAGAUCCAGACCAG
Xyrichtys novacula (pearly razorfish) is the source of this 520-nucleotide non-coding RNA. The record is from the annotation of a GenBank genome assembly. Lineage: Eukaryota; Metazoa; Chordata; Actinopteri; Labriformes; Labridae.